CCGUAGAUGACGCUGGCGGCGUGCUUAACACAUGCAAGUCGAACGAUGAUCUCCAGCUUGCUGGGGGGAUUAGUGGCGAACGGGUGAGUAACACGUGAGUAACCUGCCCUUGACUCUGGGAUAAGCCUGGGAAACUGGGUCUAAUACCGGAUACGACCAUUCCGCGCAUGCGGUGGUGGUGGAAAGCUUUUGCGGUUUUGGAUGGACUCGCGGCCUAUCAGCUUGUUGGUGGGGUAAUGGCCUACCAAGGCGACGACGGGUAGCCGGCCUGAGAGGGUGACCGGCCACACUGGGACUGAGACACGGCCCAGACUCCUACGGGAGGCAGCAGUGGGGAAUAUUGCACAAUGGGCGGAAGCCUGAUGCAGCGACGCCGCGUGAGGGAUGACGGCCUUCGGGUUGUAAACCUCUUUCAGUAGGGAAGAAGCGAAAGUGACGGUACCUGCAGAAGAAGCGCCGGCUAACUACGUGCCAGCAGCCGCGGUAAUACGUAGGGCGCAAGCGUUAUCCGGAAUUAUUGGGCGUAAAGAGCUCGUAGGCGGUUUGUCGCGUCUGCUGUGAAAGACCGGGGCUCAACUCCGGUUCUGCAGUGGGUACGGGCAGACUAGAGUGAUGUAGGGGAGACUGGAAUUCCUGGUGUAGCGGUGAAAUGCGCAGAUAUCAGGAGGAACACCGAUGGCGAAGGCAGGUCUCUGGGCAUUAACUGACGCUGAGGAGCGAAAGCAUGGGGAGCGAACAGGAUUAGAUACCCUGGUAGUCCAUGCCGUAAACGUUGGGCACUAGGUGGGGGGGACAUUCCACGUUUUCCGCGCCGUAGCUAACGCAUUAAGUGCCCCGCCUGGAGA
This 845-nucleotide ribosomal RNA is filed under the name Arthrobacter sp. RNAcentral's name for it is "bacterial SSU rRNA". It matches the Rfam family "Bacterial small subunit ribosomal RNA", at positions 23 to 879 of the family's 1533-position model. Lineage: Bacteria; Bacillati; Actinomycetota; Actinomycetes; Micrococcales; Micrococcaceae. The record is from RNAcentral.